Molecule: long non-coding RNA, 873 nt
Filed under: Rosa chinensis
Lineage: Eukaryota; Viridiplantae; Streptophyta; Magnoliopsida; Rosales; Rosaceae
Description: sRNA RchiOBHm_Chr6g0264181
Source: RNAcentral
CUCCCGUUCCAUUUCGUUGCAAGCCUAAGCCGCCGCCGUGGUCUAGGGUCCCAACAAUGGCACACGACGCCAUCGCCAAAGCCAAGUAGGCUUUCUAUCUCUUGCCGUCUUCUUGAGGCAAACCCAUGACAGCCCCCAAACCGAGAUUCCUUUUUAGAGGCGGUGUAUCAAACUCUUUCUCCGACCGCGUCGAUCGAAAGGGAUGAUGGUACUACCGUUGCUGAGUGUUCAAGGAGGCCAACACAAACGAUCGUGGGUCGGAUUCGACCGCAAAGAGCACGCUCAAGGCCCUUGAGAGCGCAACUCACUGGUGGCUAAGGCCAACACUUCAGGCUGAGUUUUCUAUUUGCUGACCUAAAACUACGACAACAGGGAGGUUUGCACCUCGUGGAAGGAUGGCGGCGGUGAGGCUCUGAGUUCAUGUUAUUGCUCUUCAAUCUACCAGAUCCAUCGUUGAUGCUCUCUGGGCAGCGAGGUUCCUGAAGCACUGUCUUGGUAGAAUGACGCCAUUCACAGACACCGGUGGUGAAAGCAGAAUGGGUAGGGUGCCCAGAGUAUUUGGGAAACCCAAACCUUGUCGGGUGCCAAAGUUGAAUCGGGUGUCCAACUUAAUCUGGAGGCCCGAAUUAGUUGGGGAGCCCCAAAUGUUCUUAGUGUUCAUUAUAACUCUGAAUUGGAUUUAGGCCCAGGUGUGGACUAGGCUAACAGGUCUAGGGUCUCUAGGAUUUCAGAUUUGGGAUUUAGGAGGAAGGGCUCAACCAAGCCUUCUAACCCUAGCUUGGAAGGGAAAGCUUUAGUAUGUUAAGUGAAUUAUGCCUAUAUACUAUGUCCUAGAUUUUUCAUAGUUAUACGCUUGCUCUAAAUAAGUGCGCG